RNAcentral lists this ribosomal RNA (449 nucleotides) under uncultured bacterium. Its description in RNAcentral is "partial 16S ribosomal RNA". It matches the Rfam family "Bacterial small subunit ribosomal RNA", at positions 29 to 523 of the family's 1533-position model. The record is from RNAcentral.
AACGAACGCUGGCGGCAUGCCUAACACAUGCAAGUCGAACGAAGCCUUCGGGCUUAGUGGCGCACGGGUGCGUAACGCGUGGGAAUCUGCCCUUGGGUUCGGAAUAACAGUUAGAAACGGAAGCUAAUACCGGAUGAUGACGUAAGUCCAAAGAUUUAUCGCCCAAGGAUGAGCCCGCGUAGGAUUAGCUAGUUGGUGGGGUAAAGGCUCACCAAGGCGACGAUCCUUAGCUGGUCUGAGAGGAUGAUCAGCCACACUGGGACUGAGACACGGCCCAGACUCCUACGGGAGGCAGCAGUAGGGAAUAUUGGACAAUGGGCGAAAGCCUGAUCCAGCAAUGCCGCGUGAGUGAUGAAGGCCUUAGGGUUGUAAAGCUCUUUUACCCGGGAUGAUAAUGACAGUACCGGGAGAAUAAGCUCCGGCUAACUCCGUGCCAGCCGCCGCAGUAA